UAACUAAAGACUGAGCAAAAUCAUUGUCC
This 29-nucleotide non-coding RNA is filed under the name Rattus norvegicus (Norway rat). The record is from RNAcentral. Lineage: Eukaryota; Metazoa; Chordata; Mammalia; Rodentia; Muridae.